CGACCGGCGCACGGGUGAGUAACACGUAUCCAACCUGCCGAUAACUCGGGGAUAGCCUUUCGAAAGAAAGAUUAAUAUCCGAUAGGAUAUCAAGAUCGCAUGAUCUUGAUAUUAAAGAAUCUCGGUUAUCGAUGGGGAUGCGUUCCAUUAGUUAGUUGGCGGGGUAACGGCCCACCAAGACGACGAUGGAUAGGGGUUCUGAGAGGAAGGUCCCCCACAUUGGAACUGAGACACGGUCCAAACUCCUACGGGAGGCAGCAG
This 261-nucleotide ribosomal RNA is filed under the name uncultured bacterium. RNAcentral's name for it is "partial 16S ribosomal RNA". It matches the Rfam family "Bacterial small subunit ribosomal RNA", at positions 92 to 354 of the family's 1533-position model. The record is from RNAcentral.